RNAcentral lists this transfer RNA (77 nucleotides) under Pseudomonadota bacterium. RNAcentral's name for it is "Proteobacteria bacterium tRNA-Met". It matches the Rfam family "tRNA". From Rfam's summary of the family: Transfer RNA (tRNA) molecules are approximately 80 nucleotides in length. Their secondary structure includes four short double-helical elements and three loops (D, anti-codon, and T loops). The record is from RNAcentral. RNAcentral also lists the same sequence under 1 other name. Lineage: Bacteria; Pseudomonadati; Pseudomonadota.
GGCAAAGUAGCUCAGCUGGUUAGAGCGCACGACUCAUAAUCGUGAGGUCGGGAGUUCAAAUCUCCCCUUUGCUACCA